AUUGAACGCUGGCGGCAUGCCUUACACAUGCAAGUCGAACGGCAGCAUGGAGAGCUUGCUCUCUGAUGGCGAGUGGCGAACGGGUGAGUAAAGCAUCGGAACGUACCGUGUAGUGGGGGAUAACGUAGCGAAAGUUACGCUAAUACCGCAUACGCACUGAGGUGGAAAGCAGGGGAUCGCAAGACCUUGCGCUAUACGAGCGGCCGAUGUCAGAUUAGCUAGUUGGUAGGGUAAAGGCCUACCAAGGCGACGAUCUGUAGCGGGUCUGAGAGGAUGAUCCGCCACACUGGGACUGAGACACGGCCCAGACUCCGGCGGGAGGCAGCAGUGGGGAAUUUUGGACAAUGGGGGCAACCCUGAUCCAGCCAUGCCGCGUGAGUGAAGAAGGCCUUCGGGUUGUAAAGCUCUUUCGGCCGGGAAGAAAUCGCACAGGCUAAUACUCUGUGUGGAUGACGGUACCGGCAUAAGAAGCACCGGCUAACUACGUGCCAGCCGCCGCAGUAA
Molecule: ribosomal RNA, 504 nt
Filed under: uncultured bacterium
Lineage: Bacteria
Description: partial 16S ribosomal RNA
Rfam family: Bacterial small subunit ribosomal RNA
Source: RNAcentral